This is a long non-coding RNA of Clupea harengus (Atlantic herring), 663 nucleotides long. RefSeq lists it as uncharacterized. Lineage: Eukaryota; Metazoa; Chordata; Actinopteri; Clupeiformes; Clupeidae. The record is from RefSeq and is a predicted model, not a curated record.
GCAGCUGGACUAGAUUUCUAUUCUUCCAUUGUAUGUGCUUUUAUUUUGAAAAUGACAAUUCCAGGCUGCUGCUAGGAACGAGCAAAGUAGCCUGCAGGGAAUGUAUUUGUGUGUCCGGGUCUUGUACCGCAAGAAACGCAUUAUAUUCUGGAUAUAAGGACUUUUACUGGUGUUUCGCUCCAAUCUGUGAGAAAAAAGUUCCUGCACUAAAGAAGACUCAACAGAGGUCUGUUGGCCAUCCCUGGUGUCGUUCCAGUACCGUUUAACUAGUAGCCUAUUUAGGCUACACGGUUGGUGGCACAGAGAAGAUACACUAAAGACCCGGCUGAAUAAGGAGUUCUCCCAGCAUAAAAUAAAUGUUUAUCAUCAAAGUCCUCCCAGUUACCCUGCAAAAACAGCUAUUGAUUUCUUCAUCAGUGCUCAUCAGUAACAGCCUUGUCAUAAGUGGCCAGAUCAUUAGUCUUUUAUGGCUUGAAGUCUUGAUUGGUCAUCUCAAAAAUGAAUAUCUUUAUUAGAGGUCAUCAAUGUCAUCACUUCUCCCUUAGCUGAAAAUCACACAAUCUGACAAAAGCAUAACAAGUGAAAGAAUACCAUUUCAAACAAGAGGAUGAAAGGCUACGUCUUUGAGUAUGGAGUCAAUGACCUUUUCCAGAGGUGAAAGAU